CAGUCGCCACGGGAAUACGAAGGGUGCAAGCGUUACUCGGAAUUACUGGGCGUAAAGCGUGCGUAGGUGGUGGUUUAAGUCCGUUGUGAAAGCCCUGGGCUCAACCUGGGAAUUGCAGUGGAUACUGGGUCACUAGAGUGUGGUAGAGGAUAGUGGAAUUUCCGGUGUAGCAGUGAAAUGCGUAGAGAUCGGAAGGAACAUCUGUGGCGAAGGCGACUAUCUGGGCCAACACUGACACUGAGGCACGAAAGCGUGGGGAGCAAACAGGAUUAGAUACCCGCGUAGUCCCUGUCUCUUAUAU
Molecule: ribosomal RNA, 301 nt
Filed under: uncultured bacterium
Lineage: Bacteria
Description: partial 16S ribosomal RNA
Rfam family: Bacterial small subunit ribosomal RNA
Source: RNAcentral